RNAcentral lists this transfer RNA (77 nucleotides) under Clostridia bacterium. RNAcentral's name for it is "tRNA-Arg". It matches the Rfam family "tRNA". Rfam says of the family: Transfer RNA (tRNA) molecules are approximately 80 nucleotides in length. Their secondary structure includes four short double-helical elements and three loops (D, anti-codon, and T loops). The record is from RNAcentral. Lineage: Bacteria; Bacillati; Bacillota; Clostridia.
GUGCCCAUAGCUCAGUAGGAUAGAGCGGCAGUUUCCUAAACUGUAGGCCGUUGGUUCGAAUCCAAUUGGGCACACCA